Molecule: ribosomal RNA, 446 nt
Filed under: uncultured organism
Description: partial 16S ribosomal RNA
Rfam family: Bacterial small subunit ribosomal RNA
Source: RNAcentral
CACUCCUACGGGAGGCAGCAGUGGGGAAUAUUGGACAAUGGGCGCAAGCCUGAUCCAGCCAUGCCGCGUGAGUGAUGAAGGCCCUAGGGUUGUAAAGCUCUUUCACCGGAGAAGAUAAUGACGGUAUCCGGAGAAGAAGCCCCGGCUAACUUCGUGCCAGCAGCCGCGGUAAUACGAAGGGGGCUAGCGUUGUUCGGAAUUACUGGGCGUAAAGCGCACGUAGGCGGAUCGAUCAGUCAGGGGUGAAAUCCCAGGGCUCAACCCUGGAACUGCCUUUGAUACUGUCGAUCUGGAGUAUGGAAGAGGUGAGUGGAAUUCCGAGUGUAGAGGUGAAAUUCGUAGAUAUUCGGAGGAACACCAGUGGCGAAGGCGGCUCACUGGUCCAUUACUGACGCUGAGGUGCGAAAGCGUGGGGAGCAAACAGGAUUAGAAACCCCGGUAGUCCC